GAUGAACGCUAGCGGCAGGCCUAACACAUGCAAGUCGAACGGUAACAUGAGAGCUUGCUCUUGAUGACGAGUGGCGCACGGGUGCGUAACGCGUAUGCAACCUACCUUUUACUGAGGGAUAGCCCAGAGAAAUUUGGAUUAAUACCUCAUAGUAUCAUAAAUGUUCAUGCAUUAAUGAUUAAAACUUCGGUGGUAAAAGAUGGGCAUGCGUAAGAUUAGCUAGUUGGUAAGGUAACGGCUUACCAAGGCAACGAUCUUUAGGGGGCCUGAGAGGGUGGUCCCCCACACUGGUACUGAGACACGGACCAGACUCCUACGGGAGGCAGCAGUGAGGAAUAUUGGUCAAUGGACGCAAGUCUGAACCAGCCAUGCCGCGUGCAGGAAGACGGCCCUAUGGGUUGUAAACUGCUUUUAUAUAGGAAGAAACUUCUCUACGUGUAGAGAGCUGACGGUACUAUAUGAAUAAGCACCGGCUAACUCCG
RNAcentral lists this ribosomal RNA (482 nucleotides) under uncultured Flavobacteriales bacterium. Its description in RNAcentral is "bacterial SSU rRNA". It matches the Rfam family "Bacterial small subunit ribosomal RNA", at positions 28 to 505 of the family's 1533-position model. Lineage: Bacteria; Pseudomonadati; Bacteroidota; Flavobacteriia; Flavobacteriales. The record is from RNAcentral.